CAUGAUAUAAUGAAACAACAUUGUGGAGAGGAAAGCAUUAGGGGAGCCCACGGCUACAAAAACAAGUGAGUGAGAAGAGGUGGGAGGAAGAGAAACUACGCCACCUCCCCUGCAGCCGAGCGGCACGCAGCAGCAGCCCGCGGGAAGUGGGCGACGCCGGGGGGGAAGGGAGACCCGGUCCCCAGCCCCGGCCCGGGGACCCCGCUGCCCACCGCCAAGAGAACAACUUUUAGCCGGCAGCCUCGGCCAGCACUGCACCUGUCUCCGGAGCCUCCAUCGCUCCUCGUGAUGACCAAAGGGGCAUUCUAGAAGAAUAUGUUCUACAAAUAUACAUGCGCAUCAUUUUCCCCCUUGCGUCUCGCUCCGGAGGAAGGAAAGAGAAAGGGAUUUAAGCAGCAGCGUGUGUUCAGCCCCAAGGGUGAAAAGAGUUGGGAUAUUUUAUCAUCUGGAGUUUCUCUGCCUCGCUGAUGAUCUAAGCUCAAACCUGCCAGUUUAUGGGAGAUGAUAGAAAACACCCUCUAACAUCUGAGUUGCAAAAAUAUCUGCCUCUAAGAACUCAGGAGGACCUACUUGGUGGGAGCAAAGGUAGUGAGUCAUACCUGCAAGCUUGGAAACGAGAGUUCGCUUGCGCCUCUUCAUCCAGUUGGGACGUUUCCUAGGCAACCAUUUAUGCAGCAAUUAAAAGAUGAGUUAAGAGGAGAAAAUGGAAAAAACAGAGGUACUUUUAAUGGAACCGAAUAAACCACUGAACAGGCAUCUACGUAGGAGAAAGUUAAUGGUGCAGAAUGCUGCUGACCGCAUGGUUCUCGUCUUAAUACAUUUUCCAACCUUGAACCUGAGACUGCCAGAGGCUCAAGUCUCUGAAUGCUCGUCUGAGCCGUUAUCUGCUGGUGGCCUGGUUCCUGAGCUAACAAGUGGGUGUCCCAGGCGUGCGUGUGGUAAUAGCAGCAGUGGUGCCACGUGGCGCCCAGAGGUCGCCUUGGUCUGUCCUGGAGAUUCUUGGUCCUCGCUGAAGCUUCUGAGUUGAACUGUGAACUUGGGGCAUCCUGAGAAGCGCAGGCAUUUUGGAGUUCCGCAGCAAACCUGGAUGUUAAGUGUCAACACAGCUUAUAAAGUGAAAGCAGGGGCCUUGAGCAAGGGAAUUACCCUCAUCUCGUCGGGACCUGCUUACUGUGCUGGAAAACAAAGUGCUGAUCUUCUGAACAAAUGCCCCCUGAGGAUUUCUGUGCCUGGAAAAUAUCUGUCUACAGAUUUCUUUGACACCCUGUGUGAGGAGACCGAGGCACAGAGUCAAGUAACUUCCCCCAGUUUGUGCGGGGAGUGAGUUCCAGAACUUGACGUUCCAGCCCCAGAAGUCUGCGUUGGACCAUCCCACCGAACUGCCCCAUAGAAACGGGCAGCUUUGGAGGAAGAGCUGGCGGGCUGUAUUUGGAGACGGUGUUUUAGCACUGCCACAAUCCCAUGCGGGAGGGGGCUGCUGGACUUAAAAAGACUUGAGCUUGCUUAAGACUAGUAGGAAAACAAGGCUUUAGAGACGAUGUGACUUGCUUAAGGUCACACUGCAAGUCAGAGUGUGGCGGAGGGUCUGGGGCCAAAUCCUACCAGUUUCCAAGUUUUCUCCUUCCUCUUGGUUGUUAGGUGCCGCUUCUGCUGUUCGGGACCAAAGCUGGUUUCAGUGGUUUGCUCAUGUGCUUUUUGACGAAACCCUGCACCUCAGAGCCCGUUUAUGUUCAGAGGUCCACGUGGCCAUGUGAAGAUUGGCCGUCACAGUAUCUAUAAAGCACCAAGCAGCAAAGAAUGUUGACUGUCACUGAAAGACUCAACGAAGUAAGCAGAUACCACGUGCUGUCGUCCUGUUUACCUAUGUACGUCCUGGAAAGAGAAUGAACGAGCCCCUGUUAAUUUAUCAACUGUUUUUUUUUUCACUUCCCUACUAGUGAACAAUGCGAUUUUUUUCUCUGUGUUAAUUUGAUAGCCAGUCUGCCCAUGCAGACGGCUUUGCAGGAAACCGACCUCUUGCUGGACGAUUAAA
Molecule: long non-coding RNA, 2032 nt
Organism: Eubalaena glacialis (North Atlantic right whale)
Lineage: Eukaryota; Metazoa; Chordata; Mammalia; Artiodactyla; Balaenidae
Exons: 8
Source: RefSeq, a predicted model, not a curated record